CUCAAACCCUAAUCUGCAACAAGAAACAGCCGGGAGCUUGCUUAUACUAAAGCUUCUGAGCUGCCACUCCCAGAGUCCAGCUUAGAGUGCCAUAGGGCCAGGAAUGUGCAUUUGCACAGCUCUCUGGGGAUGCUGAUACAGGGGACCAAAGACUAUCUACUGAGGCCCAGUGUAACUUUACUGUGAGACAACUAAGUCACCUUCCCACCCGGAGAUGCCUCCUGAGCUGACCACAGGGCGGCCACACCUGGGUAAGCCACCACUCAGGGUGGGACUGGGGCAGGCACAGCCAGGCGGGUGAGGAAGUGGGCGGGAAGAGCCUGUUUUAACCAGAUAAAAUUCCAAAAUUCCUUACAGUGAGCCAGCCAUUUGCUCUUUUUUUUUUUUUUUUGAGUCUCCCUCUGUUGCCCAGCCUAGAGUGCAGCGGUGUAAUCACAUAGCUCACUGCAGCCUGGAGCUCCUGGACUCCAGUGAUCCUCCCACCUCAGCCUCCGGAGUAGCUGGGACUAAGUCACAUACCCACAAGCCCAGCUAAUUGUUAAGUUUUUUGUUGGGGUGGUGGUGGCGGUGGGGUGUGUAUCUCACUAUGUUGCCCAGUCUGGUCUUGAACUCCUGGCCUCAAACGAUCCUCCCGCCUCCGCCUCCGCCUCCGCCUCCUUAAGUCUUGGGAUUACAGGAGUGAGCCACAACUCCGGCCCAGCCAGUUCAUUCUUAAUAACUUUAAUACAUAAAAAUGGACCAUUUUAGUGUCCUGAAAUAAGCAAUGAUUUCCACCAUCCGAAUAUGGUGUGUAAUGACCUCCAGACGCCUAGUUACCAUCUACAUCCAUAGCUCAGCGAUCAGAGCUUGCCCUGAACGGACUCCUUUCCCACUGCAGACAAGUAGGGGGUUUUGCCCGUAAAGAAGGAGCUAGUCUACGUGCGGCUGCAGUAGGCCCUGCGCCAUCCGUCAUUUCUCGGCUUCCUCCCACGCGCCUUCAUGCGGAUGUGUAGGUAUCUCCUCUCCCUGGCUGAGUCAAGUCACUCAGAGACUGAAAAGAGAGAGAGGAUGUGGCGUGAAGCUGAAGCCUGCACCCAGGGCCUGGCACCUACUGGGUUGGGCUUGGCGCUGCGUGCUUGCAUUUCCGCGGAUAGACCGAGAUGGCAUCUGGGCUGUGACACUGGCUGCCCAGCUUUUCUUUUCUUUUUUUCCAACAGCAUCUGGAAGAGGCUCUGGGAGGGUCCAAACAACAAACCACGCGGCGUUCUCUGGUGGCUGUGCUGGGACGAGUGGGCGGAAACAGCCGCAGCUGACAACUGUCAAGAACUGUCCCCUGCCAUUUCACCUGAGCUGACCUGAUCUCCCCAGGGGAAUGAGCCUCGUCUUGCAAGUCCCCUUCUUUGGGUCCCUGGCAGCGCUGCUGCAGGAUACAAGGAACAGGAUGCUAUGACGAGAUAUGCAUUGAGAAGCUUCAGUCCUGCCUCCAUCCUUAUCUUCUUCUCCCUGGACCAAAAGUGAUAAUUGUCAUUUGAUCCUUAUUUAUUUUUAGAAAUAAAACUCUUAUGCAGAUACCAACACAUACAAAUCUGUAUUCUUAUACCCUCUAUUUCUUACACACAAGGUAGCAUAUUAUAUUCACUGCUUGACAUGUUACUAUAUUUAUUUGUACUUUAUUGAGCUAUAACAUAUACAGUAAAAUAUACAAAACAUAAUGCAUAGGCCAGUGAAUUUUUUCCUUUUUUUAAAUUUAUUUUUCUUGUAUGACUAUUAAAAACAGCUUUAUUGAGGUCCAAUUGAUAUAUAAUAGUAAACUGGAAUAUAUACACACCCAUGAACCAUCACCAUAAUUGAAAUAAUGAAAAUAAUCAUCACCUUCAAAAGUUUCCUCUUAGGCCAGGUGUGAUGGCUUAUGCUUGUAAUCCCAGCACUUUGAGAGUCUGAGGUGGGAGGAUCACUUGAGCCCAUGAGUUCAAGACCAGCCUGGACAACAUGGCAAAACUCCAUCUCCACAAAAAAAUACAAAAAUUAGGUGGUGUAUGUCUGUAGUCCCAGCUACUCAAGAGGCUGAGGCAGGGGGAUCUCCUGAGCCCAGGAUGUUGAGACUGCAGUGAGCCCUGAUCAUGCCCCUGCACUCCAGCCUGGGCGACAGAGUGAGAUCCUGUCUAUAAAUAAAGUUUCCUCUGGCCUCUAUAUUUUCUUAUUAGCUUGUAAAGGUGAGCAGAUUGAUGAGUUGGGUUGAAGAUAUCUAACAUUAAGCUGAUCACAACCUCAUGGUUCCUUCCUAGAGGCUCCUUUAGUUUCUUUCUUUUCUUUUCUUCUCUUCUCUUUUUUUUUUUUCCGAGACAGGGUCUCACUCUGUUGCCCAUGCUAGAGUGCAGUGGUAUGAUCAUAGCUCUCUGCAGUCUUAAAUUCCUGGUCUUAAGCAAUGCUCCUACUUCAGCCUCCCAAGUAGCUGGGACUACAGGGGUGUGCCACCAUGUCCGGCUAUUUUUUGUAGAGACAGAGUUUCACCAUGUUUCCCAGGCUGUUCUCCUAGUGUCAAGAGAUCUGCUCGCCUCAGCCUCCCAAAGUGCUGGGAUUACAGACAUGAGCCACCGUGACCAGCUGAGUCUGCUUUUGUUUCUUAAGAAUCCAGGAACUAGGUAAUAAAUGUAUGUCUUUGCUACUCCUAAGUCUUAUUAAUCACUUACAUUUCUGACAAUUAAUCAUUGGACCUCAAGGGACUUUGAUAAGAUUAAUUUGAAGUUCUCAGCAGUAGAAAGUUUAUUUUGUCAGUCUGCAAAGCUUCUGGUGUCAGAGGUUCUGGUUCAGGGCUGUUUGACUCAAAGAACCAAGGGACUCUUGGAAAAAGAAACAAGACUUACAUGGAAUUUCAGGAUCUCCAUUGUUUAUAAGCCAUAAUUCUGGGAAGAAGGAAAUGAACUCUAAUUAAGCACCUCUAUGGGUCAGAUACUUUAUAUAAAACAAAGAAUUUAAUCCUCAACAAUAACCUGCCACAGAGAUGAGAUUAUCACCAUUUUUACAGAAGAGGAAAUAGGAUCUGAGAGCCUAAGCAACUUGCCCAAGGUGACUCAGUAAGUGGCAUGAGCUGGAGUUGAAACCCAGAGCUAUAUUGCUAUAGAGCCCAUCCUUUCUAUUUCAUGGCCCUACUCUCUGUCCCCUGCCCCUAGAUAAUAUUAACAAUUGAUAGACAGAUAAGUAGAUAGAUAGAUAAAUAGAUACAGAUACACACACAUAUAUCUGUAUAUCAGGAUGUGCUAUAUAUUACAUUUUAUUUAUUUCCAAAGGCCUUAGGAAAAAAACAAUAGCAGUGUAGAACAUGAAGGCAAAUGGUUACAAAAUACAUGGAUACGUGUAUUUUACUGCUGAUAUAAAUUUAUGUCUAUUGAGUUAUUCCCAAGUUAACAAGGACCGAGAAGUUACUGUGGCCUAAGAAUUGUGCUCUGCAUGUUGGUAGAGACAAAAUAAGCAGCGUCUACUGGCAAAGACUGUAUCAUGUUGCCGGAGAAGUGAAGCAUUAAGUAGAAACUGUGUGUAGUGGCUGUGAGGGCAGCAUGGUUCUGCAAAGGGCUUGAUUGGCGGGAAGAGGAUUAGAUUCCCGCAUGUGUAGUUGGGAAUCUGAUCUGUAAAAGCCAGACACUGAGGUUUUGAUGUCUUUCUCCAGUUCACACAAAGAGCUAAUAGCUGGGCUGGGACUAUGUCUUAAGCAUCCUGGAUAGUUAACAUCUUACCAACCUCUGUCUUCCCCAAAAGCUGCAAUCUCCAUAUGCAGGAGCCAACAUCAGUUUGCUGCAAGGGAGGAGAAUGAGGACUAUUGUAUCAACUGGAGUCCCAUAGAAAACAAAUGACACACUCAAAAGGGGUGAUCAAGAGUUCCAUGGAGGGGCCGUUGACAAAGGUAGAGCCGGUUUAGAGAAAAGCAAUAAGGGAUGCGGAAGCCUCAGGAUCAGCAGCAGCAGGAAGCCACUGGCACCGAGUGCCAAGGGGUAGGGAGCGGUAGCUGAGGUGUGGUGAGCUGUAGGUACAGAAGCACUGCUAUUGCUGCAUCAGAGGUAUCAAUAUUCCAUCCUCACUCUCUCAAUGCCCUCUGAUCACACGCCUGGUGCCCUGGAAGACAGAGGUCACUGGAGCUGUGUGGUUGCAGUCGUUAGAGGUCAGCUUCCUGGCUGCAGCACAGUGCAGAAAGGAAAUGGACAGAGAGUGGUUCUGGCAGGACAGAUGGAGACUAUCCAGUGCAAAAUCCAUGCUGGGGAAAUUUAAGAGUUUUCUUGGGAGUGCAUUAAAGGAGCUAUUGCAGGUGCCUUAGAAUCUCAGAGUCUUAAAGUCACUCCCUUCCAUAAUCCAAUAGCUUGUUCUUGUUCUCAGGAAAGCUCUAUAAACCCAGGGCCUUAUUCUUAUUGUAGUCAUCAUUUCCAGCAGAGCACAGAUUCAAGAGCCAGCUGUUUAACUCAUGACCUUGCUGAAGAGGUGGUAAUGGGGCUAUUCUUAGUGAUCACAUUGUUAUGGGUUAGCAACUUGAUGUUCAAGGUAGUGGGCACCUAGAUAUCUCUGAAUGAUGGUGUUUGUUGGUUUGAAAGAGGUCUCCCUCAUUAAUUCAUUAUCUUGCUGGAGAGGCAGUUGCAUUUUGGCUUCAGCCUUUAAAUGAUAGUGGCUCUAUUUCCGACUUGCUUGGAAACUAUUAUUAACUAUUAUUCCCAACAAUACACUUGCAUAUUUGACAAUCUAGAAACCAAAUUUAGCCAUGCAAAUUAUAGACAACUGCUCUCUUAUAAUGUCACUGUGAUGUCCCAGUUUUUAAGAAAUGGAAGAUUAACAAAGCCAGCUUCAAAUGCUUAAAACAAUAUUUUAUGUAAGAAGCCAUUUUCCCCCAGAGAUGCAUAGACCUGUAAAAUGUUUCCAGAGCUCUUUGGAAGAUAACCAAUAUUUCUCUCAAAGGAAGGGGAAGUAGCAGAACAUCAAAUAUACGCAAAAACCCUUCAAAGCUGGAAGUGCCAUCAGCUUACUAAGGAAUUAUGUUAAAAAUAAGGGAAACUUAAGAGGUCACUUAAAUGAUUUAAACACCAUAUUUUCCCUCUUCUCCAAAAAUCCCCCAAGACAAUGCUCAUAAUGUUAGACUGACCUUUUAGCAUAUGUGAUUUUAGUGAAAGACAUUUCUCUUCUUCUAAAUAUAUCUCAAACCAUUCUUAAAAGUAAUGAUUUCUCAUUAAGGCUCUUGCACCUGCUUGUGAAGAAAAGACAUCUGACCUUUAAAAAAUAUUCCAUGGGUCUGAAUCAUCUAAGUAUAUUGUAGCUUUAUUCUUGCAGACAAGGGAAACCAAGAAUGAUCUGGAUAAUGGAGAAACCUGUUAAUACAACUGGAUUUGAAUCACACUACUGGCUGAAAUUCACACAACCGGAUUGGGAUCCCACUGUGUAAUUUUAGGAUGCUCAAGCAUCAUGGCAUCAUUUCCAGUGGAGUCGCUGAACUUGUAGGUUGUCUACCUGACACCUCGAGGUCCUUACACCAAGAAGUCAGCUGUGAAGCCCGCUGAGUCCUCGGGUGGAUGUCUGCCACCACAUACAUAGCCUUUGCUGGUGGCUUGGAGAGCUGGCAGGUCAGCCACAGAAAGUGGGCAAGACCUAGUCAGUAGCGACAGGAUAUGUUCCCAGGAUGGACAGCUGCCUGAUAUGCGUUCAGUUCCAGUGCCAAAGCCAAGGGCUGCCAGUGCCCUUCCUUCAUGCUAAGGACUUCUCUCUCUCCAGGACAGCGGAUGCCUGUUUGGAAGGCUGGAUUGGACUGAGCCACAUGGCAGAGCCUUGGAGAUGGCAGGGGAGGGAAGUCGAAGACAUGGAGUGGUUUGACAUUUGUGCAUAGUAUGAAGAAAGAUCAUCAAGGCUGAAAUGUGUCUGCUAAGAGGCUUCAGCUCAUGUUUGCUAAUCUCCUGUAUGGUGAAACACUGGCACCCAGACAAACCCUCAUUCACAUCAGAACAAAGCGCUAGUUAUGUGUGUUGAAAUUCCUUAAAGAAAAUGUCUUGCAGGCUGCUGGGGAGUGCGUGAAUGCUGGAAAUGCUUCACCAAGAGUUACUCAAUGUCCUGGGAAGACGGUCUGCUGGCAUCUGAGGGCUCACCCUAGAGAAGAGUGGUUGUACUCCAGGGCACAUGGGUCUGGUGAGGACAGAGAAGCAUGGGUGGAUGGGUGGGUGGAGAUGAGGGUGGAUGUUUUCUCUGUAAUCGUCUCCGGCCAGGCUGGAGCCCGAACCAGACUACCCACUUUAUUAGUCCAUUGAGAAUAUCUAAAGUCAGGCUUCUCAGCACAGCUGCCAUUUCCCCUGCUUGGGACCAGAUUUUCCUGUUUUCUGAGGGCUUCCAAGUAAGUUGGAAGUUCCUUGGGUUUCCACAACUUUGACUUAAUGAAGAAACAAGGUCAAGAAUCAGAGGAAAGGUUUUUGGAUGGGCCUCAGAGGUCUGAAAUGGUUAGGUGGGAGUCUAAAGGUAUAGGAGAGAAACUAAAUCAGUUGUAGCCCCAGCUGUUUGGAGAUGAUGCCAGCAGAUGGGAUUGAGUAAGCGACCACAGGUUGCAGAGGGUGGCAGAUGGGAGGCGGAUGUGGAAAUGGGGUCCCAGUCAGAAAUGAACACCACUAGAGGAGCAGGAAGAAGGGCCAAGCAAGAGCAGUGGUUCUCAUUGUGGUUUCUGGACUAGCGGCGGCAGCAGCACCCACGAUGUAGAUGUCAACUCUUAACUCCACUCGGAAACCCACUGAAUCAGAAACUCAGGUGGUGAAGCCCAACCAGCGGUACUUGAAUAAGUCCUCCAGUGAGUCUGAUGGACACUAAAGUUUAAGAACCACUGAGUCAGGGAACCCCAAGGGAGGCAAUUGCUAAGGAACUGCAAGAGAGGAAUUAGGGGCUGGGCCAGGGGCCAGGCGCGGUGGCUCACACCUGUAAUCCCAGCACUUUGAGAGGCUGAGGCAGGAGAAUGGCUUGAGCCCAGGAGUUCAAGACUAGCCUGGGCAACAUAGUGAAACCCUGACUCUACAAAGAACACAAAAUUGGCCAGGCAUGGUGGUAGCCACCUGCAGUCCUAACUACUCGGGAGGAUCACUUGAGCCUGGGAGAUGGAGGUUGCAGUGAGCUGAGAUCACACCUCUGGGCUACAGCCUGGGUGAUAGAGCAAGACCCCAUCUCAAAAAAAAAAAAAAAAAAGACGGCAGGAUUAGGGAAACUUCUAGAAUGAGGAGGAGAUGGCCCUGAAAGCACAGGGGGACAAGGAGAGUGAACUGAAAAGUAGAAAGAAGUUCUUCUCCAUAAGAAAAAAAGGUGAUGAGAGCUACAAUAAAAAACUACUAGUCACAACGGCUGCAGCUCAAGGUAGCCUGGAUUCUUGAUAAGCACACACCCGCCACUGGUGUCACGCUGAAGCUGGAAGGACCGCCUCUGCUAACAACAGUGAAGAACAAAUGUGGAUGCAAAUGGCUCUUAGAAGUCAGACAAAGGGAAGUUGCAUUGCUGAGAUUCACCUGCAGGUCCCAGCAUGGCUCAUUUGUUCUCUGGAGUAGUGGGUUGAAUGGUAGCCCCCCGCCCCCAUAGAUAUCCUAACCCCUAGAAUCUGUGAACGUGAUCUUAUUGUGGCAGCAGGCCUGUAAUCCAAGCUACUCUGGAAGCUGAAGGGGGAGGAUUUCUUGAGGCCAGAGGUUCGAGACCGGCCUAGGCAACAUAGCAAGAGACCCCUUCCAUCUCCAAAAAAUGAAGGAUAUCCAGAUGAGAUCAUCCUGGAUUAUCUGAGUGGGUCUUAAAUCCAAUGACAUCCAAAUUUAUAAGAGAUGAAAGAGGAGGAAAAGAGAGAUAUGCAGAGGAGAAGGUGAUGGGAAGAUGGAGGCAGGAAUUGGAGUGACACAUCCAUAAACAUGUAGACAUAAAGGGAAUGCCUGUAGUCACCAGCAGUGGGAAGAGGUAAGGCGGGAUUGUCCCGCAGAGCCUUCAGAGGAGGCAUGGCCCUGCUAACACCUUGAUUUUUGGACUUCUGACCUCCAGAAAUGAAAGAAAAUAAAUUACUAUUGCUUUAAGCCACCAAAUUUGUGGUGAUUUAUUAUAGCAGCUCUAGGAAAUUAAUAUACCUGGCUUAAGGGAAGAGGCAUGGGAUUUGAAGACAGACAGACUGGUGUCUUGAACUUUUUGAAUGUUACUCCCUAGGGUGGGAUGUGAACUCUGAGUCACAGCAGUCCCCACGUGGCUUGAGUCCCUCAUUACUUUAGCUAUCUGCCUCCUAUGAGCAUCUUAGCUUUGUAUCCUCUGGGUAACUUCACCUCUCCAGUCUUCUCCACCUUUGACAUCUUAUUAUUCCAGCAAGGGGGGUGGGGAAGGUGGAUUACCUCAAAUCUUUGGAGCAAUGUUUGGGGAUGAUGUAGUCUACCAUCCUUUGAAUAGCUUGGCUGAUUUACCAUUGAGGAAGAAAGAAAUUUCUUCUUGAGAUGUAGUGUGAUGCCUUUUUCAGAACCAGCCACUCUAGUGAUUUUUAAUAAAAAAAAUUAUUGUCUCAUGGCUGGGUUUCUGUCAUUCCUUCCAGAAGGUGGGAGGCUGUGAGUUUGGAAAAUUAGUGUCUGGUGACUGUGGGUGAGAAGGCCCUUUCCUACAUAACAGAAGAAAUAAACAC
Molecule: long non-coding RNA, 8611 nt
Filed under: Homo sapiens (human)
Lineage: Eukaryota; Metazoa; Chordata; Mammalia; Primates; Hominidae
Description: HSALNT0134753
Source: RNAcentral